RNAcentral lists this ribosomal RNA (157 nucleotides) under uncultured Boletopsis. Its description in RNAcentral is "5.8S ribosomal RNA". It matches the Rfam family "5.8S ribosomal RNA". Rfam says of the family: 5.8S ribosomal RNA (5.8S rRNA) is a component of the large subunit of the eukaryotic ribosome. It is transcribed by RNA polymerase I as part of the 45S precursor that also contains 18S and 28S rRNA. Lineage: Eukaryota; Fungi; Basidiomycota; Agaricomycetes; Thelephorales; Thelephoraceae. The record is from RNAcentral.
ACAACUUUCAGCAACGGAUCUCUUGGCUCUCGCAUCGAUGAAGAACGCAGCGAAAUGCGAUAAGUAAUGUGAAUUGCAGAAUUCAGUGAAUCAUCGAAUCUUUGAACGCACCUUGCACUCCUUGGUAUUCCGAGGAGUAUGCCUGUUUGAGCGUCAU